This 125-nucleotide microRNA precursor is filed under the name Daucus carota subsp. sativus. RNAcentral describes it as "sRNA DCAR_mi00071". The record is from RNAcentral. Lineage: Eukaryota; Viridiplantae; Streptophyta; Magnoliopsida; Apiales; Apiaceae.
UAGAAUAGUGAUGCAAGGGUUGUGUAGGAGGAGUCAGGUUAGUAAGGCUGCUGAUUUGUUGGAGGAUAUGCUGAAUAAAGGCUUUGUUCCUGAUGCGUUGAGUUACACGACUUUAUUGAAUAGUU